Molecule: ribosomal RNA, 235 nt
Filed under: uncultured bacterium
Lineage: Bacteria
Description: partial 16S ribosomal RNA
Rfam family: Bacterial small subunit ribosomal RNA
Source: RNAcentral
CGUGGAAAGUGGCGGACGGGUGAGUAACGCGUAGGAAUUUACCUAAAGGUACGGAACAACUAAUGGAAACGUUAGCUAAUACCGUAUGAUGCCUCCGGGCCAAAGAUUUAUCGCCUUUAGAUGAGCCUGCGUCGGAUUAGGUAGUUGGUGGGGUAAAAGCCUACCAAGCCGACGAUCCGUAGCUGGUCUGAGAGGAUGAUCAGCCACACUGGGACUGAGACACGGCCCAGACUCC